AGCCCGCGAACCGAGCCCGCAAUUCUCAAUAAGCAAAUUUAUUUCUGCCGGGGCU
RNAcentral lists this transfer RNA (55 nucleotides) under Pristimantis museosus. RNAcentral's name for it is "tRNA-Cys". The record is from RNAcentral. Lineage: Eukaryota; Metazoa; Chordata; Amphibia; Anura; Strabomantidae.